GGACGAUGAAAAAGCAACUAACUCUCCGACCCGAGGAGCUAGGAAAAGGUGGGAAAAUUAGAAAGUCUGGCGCGCGGGCGCGCGCGUUUAAAAUUGAAAAGGCAAAGUGUGUCGCGUGUGUCGGCGGCAACCUUCGGGCGAACGUUUUCGCGGGAGAGGGAAACGCAAAUAGCCGGCCAAAUUUGCAGCCGGUGGCGGCCGGUACGAAAAUAACCGCCGAGGGUGGACUUCGCCGCGAAUGGGGCGGCUCGUAAAUAAUUAGUAUCGGGCACGGGUAAAUGCAGAAGAAGAAAGGAGAGGCAUCCGGCCGCGGCCGAAUAUAGGAUGAAGAGGAGAGUCCAGAGUUUCAGCGCGCGAGGACGACGGGCAUACCCGUGAAGCAAACUGAAUUUUCAAUGGUGGGGCUGGAUCGAUGGAAAGGUUGACCCAGUAACCUGGAACCUGGUGCGCCGGUUAGUUUACGAACUGCAACCUCGAUCGAUCUGAAUGUGCUGGAUAUCCAAUCGCAAUUACAUUUCCACCACCUUCCACCACCUUCCGGCCACAACCAGCCAGCAGCAUUUGCUUUUUUCCCUUCUCCUGUUUGUUGCGCCCUACUUCUAAUUAGCAGCCAUCGAUAAGAUUCACUCUGUUGAUACGAACGAUUUUCGUACUUGAAAUCCUUUUAAGGGACUAGAGAGAGAGAGAGAGAGAAAGAGAGAGAGGAUGUAUCGU
Long non-coding RNA from Frieseomelitta varia, 714 nucleotides. RefSeq lists it as uncharacterized. NCBI's taxonomy places the organism in Eukaryota, Metazoa, Arthropoda, Insecta, Hymenoptera, Apidae. The record is from RefSeq and is a predicted model, not a curated record. The transcript has 3 exons.